This 253-nucleotide ribosomal RNA is filed under the name uncultured bacterium. Its description in RNAcentral is "partial 16S ribosomal RNA". It matches the Rfam family "Bacterial small subunit ribosomal RNA", at positions 524 to 776 of the family's 1533-position model. The record is from RNAcentral.
UACGUAGGGGGCUAGCGUUGUCCGGAAUCAUUGGGCGUAAAGCGCGCGUAGGCGGCCCGGUAAGUCCGCUGUGAAAGUCCAGGGCUCAACCCUGGAAAGCCGGUGGAUACUGCCGGGCUAGAGUCCGGGAGAGGCGAGUGGAAUUCCUGGUGUAGCGGUGGAAUGCGCAGAUAUCAGGAGGAACACCUAAGGCGAAGGCAGCUCGCUGGAACGGUACUGACGCUGAGGCGCGAAAGCGUGGGUAGCAAACAGG